AGUGAACGCUGGCGGUAGGCCUAACACAUGCGAGUCGAACGGCAGCACAGUAAGAGCUUGCUCUUACGGGUGGCGAGUGGCGGACGGGUGAGGAAUACAUCGGAAUCUACUUUUUCGUGGGGGAUAACGUAGGGAAACUUACGCUAAUACCGCAUACGACCUACGGGUGAAAGCAGGGGAUCUUCGGACCUUGCGCGAUUGAAUGAGCCGAUGUCGGAUUAGCUAGUUGGCGGGGUAAAGGCCCACCAAGGCGACGAUCCGUAGCUGGUCUGAGAGGAUGAUCAGCCACACUGGAACUGAGACACGGUCCAGACUCCUACGGGGGGCAGCAGUGGGGAAUAUUGGACAAUGGGCGCAAGCCUGAUCCAGCCAUACCGCGUGGGUGAAGAAGGCCUUCGGGUUGUAAAGCCCUUUUGUUGGGAAAGAAAAGCAGCAGGUUAAUACCCCGCUGUUCUGACGGUACCCAAAGAAUAAGCACCGGCUAACUUCGUG
Molecule: ribosomal RNA, 492 nt
Filed under: uncultured bacterium
Lineage: Bacteria
Description: partial 16S ribosomal RNA
Rfam family: Bacterial small subunit ribosomal RNA
Source: RNAcentral